UACGGAGGGUGCGAGCGUUGUCCGGAAUCAUUGGGCGUAAAGGGCGCGUAGGUGGCGGGACAAGCGUGCGGUGAAAGCCUGGGGCUCAACCCCGGGUCGGCCGUGCGAACUGUUUUGCUUGAGCACUGUAGAGGCAGGCGGAAUUCCGGGUGUAGCGGUGGAAUGCGUAGAGAUCCGGAAGAACACCGGUGGCGAAGGCGGCCUGCUGGGCAGUAGCUGACACUGAGGAGCGAAAGCAUGGGUAGCAAACAGG
RNAcentral lists this ribosomal RNA (253 nucleotides) under uncultured bacterium. RNAcentral's name for it is "partial 16S ribosomal RNA". It matches the Rfam family "Bacterial small subunit ribosomal RNA", at positions 524 to 776 of the family's 1533-position model. The record is from RNAcentral.